AUGGCCAACAGAUCAAAGUGUAUGUCGGUCGAGCCGCCACGUCACCAAGGACAUGCAACUAGCACUGCGUCCACCACGCUGCCACUACCAGCACACACAUCGUUAGAGGAUGCCACCGUGCCUAAAGAACAAUGUCCAUGGCUACCCGCCACCGCACCACCCAGCCUACCCGUGCUGCACCAACACGACAAGCGGGGGAAGGUAACGGAGCAUGAUCUAUCGAGAUGCAUAUGGAUGACACGUGGUUUUAGCGAGUUUGGGCCUCUCACGGUGGAGAUAACAACCCCACGUCUCGUGCUCCGGAGAGACUUUGUUAUAUCUGAGUAUGUAUCCGAAGAUUACAAUGUUUGUUUGAGAGAGAGCGGGGAGAGCGGAUCUUCAUGCUUGAGCUAUGUCCUGAGACUAGAGAGAGAGAGGUGGAAGAAAAAAGAGCGUGCCCCAAGUCUAGUGGGGUAUUUGUCCGAGUGGACGUGCUUCCCAACUGAUCGGGAGGUAAAGACAUGUCCAACUGAUGGUGACGCGCGAGGUGGCCGAGAGGCGAUGUGCACAACCGAGUGGCGACGCGCGGGGCCGCCGAGUGAGGAUGCGCGAGGUGGCCGAGUGAAGAACUACGUGUCCAGCCAAGUGGUGACGCGCGGAGCGGCCGUGUGGCGAAGGCAUGCACAACCGAGAGGCGACGCGUGGAGCGGCCAAGUGCCAAGUGGUGACGCGCGGAGCGGCCGUGUGGUGAAGGCAUGCACAACCGAGAGGCGAUGCGCGGAGCGGCCGAGUGGUGAAGGCAUGCACAACCGAGAGGCGACACGCGGAGCGGCCAAGUGUGACGAGUUCGGUGUAGUGUGGUUGCGACGCAACAAGACCGGCAUGACAACUGAGUCUGGGUGUAGAAAUGAAGAUGACACCCGCUGGGAGUGCAAAAGGGGCUUGCUGGUUAACCAGCAAGAGUCUGAAAGAGUGAAGGAUCCGUUCGAACUUGUCGAAGCGACGGAUCCGACUGAACUCAUUGGAAUACUAGCUCAAAUAAAACGGAACUGUCUGAAGGGGCGCGAGUGGCCGAGUGGUGGUGAGGCGACCAACCAAGUGGCGACGCGCGGGGCGGCCGAGUGGUGCCCUUCCACGUCAGCCAAAUCACAUCUGGAGGGGAGAGAAAGAGGGAGAGAGAAGCGAACGGGCGCUUCGUCAAGCGCCGGGCUGUGGCACAAGAUACGAGAGCUUUGCGCCCGCUUGCAGCCCGUGGCGAGCGCUAGAGCCGGCGCUCUCGAUCCCCUGCGCCUCUCCCGCCUCCCGCGCUUCUCCUUCCUCCUUCGCGCGCAAAAAUCAGCCCGUGCCGUCGCCCCAAAUAGCUUCCUUGUGCCAAAUCAAGCCUUCCAAAUUUCCCCAAAUCGCCACCUCUCCCGAACCCUAGAACUGUCGCCGGCGCACAUCAAGGAGAUGGGUCAGCAGUCCAAACGGACGCGCGCGCCGGCACCUCGUGAAGCCCCUCCACCAGCGCCUCUGCUCACCUCGCCGCCAGCGCAUCUCCUGGUCCCGCCGCCGGCGCAUCUACUGGUCUCGCCGGCGCCUAAGUCUGCCCCGCCGCCGGGGAUCCCAUCGGCCUUCCCUUCAAAGCAGAGAACAAGCACUUGGAUCCCCCCAAGACCACAAGAGUCUCUGGCGGCUAGUCUACAGCAACCAAGUGAAUCGGGUCCUACGGCUCAAGGUCCUUGUUGGGCACCGCCUGCCUGCAUCGGUGGCUCUACAUCACCUUGGUACAUGGCUGGCAAUAUGGACUACUCUGAUCCACAAGUAUGUCAGUCUUCCUAUUUCCUGGUUGCAUGGAUGGCAUGUAUAUCUCAUCUCUUUCUCCGCUGGUGUACACAUCUAGCCGUCAUUGAUGAGCAAGGAACCCAGACUCGAAGCAUCACCGGUCUUGGCCGCCCCCGGCGCCGGUCACCGCCCUCGCUACCGGUUGCCGCCCUCGCCGCCGGUGGCGACCCGUGUUUCAUGCUGGCUCGGCGCAUGCAGCAGCGUCUUUCUAGACCACCCGUUGCAACAUCACGGGGGUGUCUCCCAUGGUGCUCCCAGCUCGCCGUCUGCCUCGAGCUUUGUUGCUCGAAACAGCGCCGCCGUCCUUGCAGCUCGCCGUCCUCGCAGCUCACCAUCCAUGAUGGCAGCUCUCCUGGGCACCGGUUGCAGCAGGAAACGACGCGGUUCCAGCUUCCGCCGAGGCCGGUGAGCGAGGACGGCGAACGGCGACGAGGACGGCCGGUGCGGGUGGCCACCGGCGAUGAGGACGGCCGGCGAGGACGGCCAACUGAGGCAGGGACCGGCGAGAUGAAAGAGAGAGAGGAAGCAGCGCAGCCGCGUGGGGCAUUUAAAUGGCGAGCGAUUGGUCGGCCCUGUCAGCCUCGUGUCCCCUCCACGCGGAAAGGCUGGCCAUACGAUGGGAGGGGAUCGCACGGGUCGCGCGCGACCGGCCGAGUAGUUCGGCCGGCACCCCAGCCUCAAACGUUUCCCAUUUAUCUCCUGCAUGCAGGACAUAAAUGGGAAGGAAUUAAGAGUAGGAGGAAAGUGGAAGGCGAGGCGCAAAGAGCUCCUUGGUCAGCCACGGCGGUGGCGGCUUUGGCAUGGGUCCACCGUGAGGUGAGACAGUCCGCGACAAAUCGGAGUGCGGGGUGGCGUUCUUCUGCGAGGCGGCGGCGAGUCGACCUGGUGGCUCCCAUCCCGUUGUGGUCGAGGACGUGGAUGGCAUCGGUCGUGGGUGCUGCGUCAGGUCCGUGCAACGACCGUGGUGGUCGCCGCCGGGCGGUUGACGAGGGAUGCUGCUGCAACGCGGUGUUAGGCCGUCGCGGUCUUGCGGAGACAAGGUGGCUGCUGCAGCGCCAGGCCUGCGCGCACGUCGCAACGACCACAGCCGAGCGCCCGCACCGCCGAGGGACUGCCAAGCGCUUGCGAUCGCUGCAGUUGGCUGACAGUGGGCCGAGGUCGACGGAGAAGAGGAAGCAGGAGGCGCGAACCACCGCGCUGGCGGCCGUGCGCGAGGACAAUGGCGACGACCCUUGGCGCAGCACGUCGAUGCCCUUUUCCCUUCCCCAUCUCUUGUCUGAUUUAUUCAUCGCAAGAUUUCGUUGUUGA
This 3111-nucleotide ribosomal RNA is filed under the name Triticum aestivum (bread wheat). RNAcentral describes it as "partial small subunit ribosomal RNA". Lineage: Eukaryota; Viridiplantae; Streptophyta; Magnoliopsida; Poales; Poaceae. The record is from RNAcentral.